This 500-nucleotide ribosomal RNA is filed under the name uncultured Veillonella sp. RNAcentral's name for it is "partial 16S ribosomal RNA". The record is from RNAcentral. Lineage: Bacteria; Bacillati; Bacillota; Negativicutes; Veillonellales; Veillonellaceae.
CACGUAGUUAGCCGUGGCUUUCUAUUCCGGUACCGUCAAUCCUUCUAACUAUUCGCAAGAAGGCCUUUCGUCCCGAUUAACAGAGCUUUACAACCCGAAGGCCGUCAUCACUCACGCGGCGUUGCUCCGUCAGACUUUCGUCCAUUGCGGAAGAUUCCCCACUGCUGCCUCCCGUAGGAGUCUGGGCCGUGUCUCAGUCCCAAUGUGGCCGUUCAUCCUCUCAGACCGGCUACUGAUCAUCGCCUUGGUGGGCCGUUACCCCUCCAACUAGCUAAUCAGACGCAAUCCCCUCCUUCAGUGAUAGCUUAUACAUAGAGGCCACCUUUCAUCUUUCCUCGAUGCCGAGGUUAGAUCGUAUGCGGUAUUAGCAGUCGUUUCCAACUGUUGUCCCCCUCUGAAGGGCAGGUUGAUUACGCGUUACUCACCCGUUCGCCACUAAGAUUGAUAGAAGCAAGCUUCCAUCGCUCUUCGUUCGACUUGCAUGUGUUAAGCACGCCGCC